Long non-coding RNA from Papaver somniferum (opium poppy), 1204 nucleotides. RefSeq lists it as uncharacterized. The transcript is spliced from 7 exons. The record is from RefSeq and is a predicted model, not a curated record. Lineage: Eukaryota; Viridiplantae; Streptophyta; Magnoliopsida; Ranunculales; Papaveraceae.
AUAGCUUGCUAGUAACUGACGCUCAAAUCUCAGUAAUCGAAUUUCUUCAACUUUGAUCGGUCGGCUUCGGGAAGAAGAACAAACGACAGAAGUAAGUAGCAGACAUGUGUAGAGAGGUGGAAUUUGAUUGAAUGUGGUGGAGAAAGUGGGAAAGUAUCUUAACGAAUCGUUCUACUCUCAUCAGACAUAACAUUGGUUGAUCAGGUUCAUUGAGGGUCACUGAGUGAGAAAGAAGCUAGGAGAUAUUUCCAGCAUUAAGGGGUCUACCAUUGAGAUUUGAAGGUGUUUCAUAUCUGGCAUUCGGAAGCCUGUGGUCCAUUUACCGUCGCAUGAGAUGUCUGGUCUUGCGGGCAUUCUUUAUGGUUUUUGUUGGCAGGCUAUCUCAGCUUGAUCUUACCACCUUGUACAAUAAGAUUGGGAAGGCAGAGUUUUUCUAUCCGUUUUGGUUUCCUUUUGACGCAAAGUCCUUCUUAUAUGGGAUACUGGAUCCAAAUCCUCCAACUCGCCUUCAAAUUAAUGAAAUCAAGGAUGACCAGUGGUUUAAUAGGAGUUAAGUUCCUGUCAGGCCUAUUGAAUGUGAGGAUGUAUAUGCUUCUUUUGAUGCUACGGAGGAUCAGCAGGCUGAACCUGAACAGUGCGGAAACGAAUCAUGCCCCCUAUAACAGUAGAGAUGGUGGUCUUACAAUUAUUUCUCAAGGCCUGAACCUUUCAGCAAUGCUUGACCGUGGAUACGUAUUUACAGUGAAUUCUGCGAGGAACAUGAUUCUGUUUCUUUCUUUCCCUUUUGUGUUCAUGGGACAGUAACGUUUUCCUGUAUUCGGAAUCUUUUGAUCUUACCCAACAGGCUGCCAAAUGCCAGACGCUUUCUUUCAACCAGCUAAAGUCCUUCUGUCAAGUACAGAAGUUUUUCAACUUCCAUAUAGCCCCUUGCAUCAGUCCAUCUAAGCUUUCUUAUGAUUCCGUUUGGUCUUUCUUUUUUCAUGGUGGGCAAAAAGCAGCCGGUGAGACUGCUGAAUACCUUAUGCUUAAGUCCUCCUGUGAUCUCUAUCCAUGUAGAUGUAUCAACCAGGGAUGGUGUAAAUGUUCGGUGUUUUUUUAGUUUGUAGAAGGGGCCGAGCAGUUCUGCCCAGAUGUUGCACAGAAUCCUAAUGGCACGGAGGGGUCCAUACGGUGUUCCCUUCACGAAGUUCAAUCAUAUAGAGGA